CUUGAUAGGGUAAAUCAUGUAAUAAUAUUACAUUCAU
Molecule: transfer RNA, 37 nt
Filed under: Lucilia illustris
Lineage: Eukaryota; Metazoa; Arthropoda; Insecta; Diptera; Calliphoridae
Description: partial tRNA-Ile
Source: RNAcentral